Xiphophorus hellerii (green swordtail) is the source of this 123-nucleotide long non-coding RNA. RefSeq lists it as uncharacterized. The record is from RefSeq and is a predicted model, not a curated record. The transcript is spliced from 3 exons. Lineage: Eukaryota; Metazoa; Chordata; Actinopteri; Cyprinodontiformes; Poeciliidae.
AAAAACUUAAAAUCUAACCAAGUAUUUUUGUCUAGUUUUUUAGUGAAAAUAUCUUAUUGCACUAGAAAUAAGACAAAACUAACAUACAAGUAACUUAUCAGCAAGAUAGAGGAGCUGGUUUUA